UGAGAGAUCGGCGCGGGCGGGCCUCUCGCCAACCCGGUCAGGUCCGGAAGGAAGCAGCCGCAACGAGUUUUGCUCGGGUCGUCGCCGGUCUCUCACCC
This 98-nucleotide signal recognition particle RNA is filed under the name Pikeienuella piscinae. RNAcentral's name for it is "Bacterial small signal recognition particle RNA". It matches the Rfam family "Bacterial small signal recognition particle RNA". Rfam says of the family: The signal recognition particle (SRP) is a universally conserved ribonucleoprotein involved in the co-translational targeting of proteins to membranes. Archaeal SRP consists of a 7S RNA and homologues of the eukaryotic SRP19 and SRP54 proteins. Lineage: Bacteria; Pseudomonadati; Pseudomonadota; Alphaproteobacteria; Rhodobacterales; Paracoccaceae. The record is from Rfam by way of RNAcentral.